Long non-coding RNA from Drosophila biarmipes, 1329 nucleotides. RefSeq lists it as uncharacterized. Lineage: Eukaryota; Metazoa; Arthropoda; Insecta; Diptera; Drosophilidae. The transcript is spliced from 4 exons. The record is from RefSeq and is a predicted model, not a curated record.
AUAAAUUUUCAGGAAAUUAAAUAUUAGUAAUCCCCACUCCCUUCCUAUCAACUCCCAGCAGCGCCGCGUGGACAUCUCUCGACGUAUAUAGUGGCGAGAUCAAAAAUACCCGCAUGUCGGCGAUUAACAGGAAUUAACAUGUAUCGCUAAAGUCGGCCAAAUAUUGACACUCGUCCGAGCCGAGUGACGGAGAUCGGAUAUAUCCGGUCCAGCGAUGGGGAGGAGGCGGAGGCGCUGGGGGCCCUGGAAGUGGUUAAUGUGACGAGAAAAGUCAAACAAAAAGCGGCGACGAGUCGGAAUGGGUCGAACGCUGAACAAAUUGACUCGGCCACAUAAUUAGGCACUUGGCCAUGUCCACAGCUGGCACGAUAUACACGUCUACCUUGUGCAUGUGUAACUAUAUCCCAUUGGAUCCCAUGCAGUCAAAAGUAUCUCACGCAGUGGGACAAAAGGUUUUUAUUGUGCGUACCCGUUGACAGCCUCAAUCGACGGGGUUUGGCCCGAGUCGGACGAGUACGAACCUCUCCGGUCGCAUCGUUUGUUAUAUUUGUUAUUUAUUUUGCGGUUAUAAUACUUAUGCACUGGGGCUGGACGGAAAAAUAUUGGCAUCCAUUCAGCGGGACAAGACUCCACGGCGUUUUACAGUUUCUCGGGCCGCGACGAGAUGAUAAAUUAGCUUUCCCCCUCCCACUCCGCCCAGACCCCACCCUUGGCAGUACCUCCCCUCGGAGUCGCACUGUGGGAACUGCCACAGCUUUGGCGGGCAUAAAAAUGUGCGCCGUAAUUGUCGGCUGAAUUUAAUUGUGAUUGGACACCGCUCAAAAGCCGGGCUGUGUUUCACGCCCUCAAAACGGAACCGUCGAGGACCAGUGUGACCAACAGUGUAUUUAAAAAAGGAACCUUCCGGGAAAAGUGUGACCAACCUUGUAUUUGAGUUCAGCCCCAGUAAUUGUUGUGCACACACCCACACCCCCUUACCCCUUUUUUCGGUGCGCGAUGAUUUCACGCAGUGCUAAUUAAUUGCCCAACAAUCGAAGCGUUUGGAAUGCAGCCCAAAAGAGUCUAAAGCGUCUAAAGAGCGUGGGAACUGGCCGAAAGUGAAUGGAAAGGCGGCUCGAAUCGGGCAGAGGAAGUGGAAAUGGAAGUUGUCGCCUCAGUUUGGACAAGCCGAAAGAGUUUUCACACCUGUUUGCGGGCCAAUUGAUUUCACCUUUUCCUAUCGACUCGAAUAGACUAGGAAACGCAGAGAGCUGAGAACCAAGAUCGAGAUCCGAGCGGAGGCAGCGAAUUCAAUUAGUAAUAAACAAGACCUUGAUAUACGAGUAUGCU